This 73-nucleotide transfer RNA is filed under the name Vicugna pacos (alpaca). It matches the Rfam family "tRNA". Rfam says of the family: Transfer RNA (tRNA) molecules are approximately 80 nucleotides in length. RNAcentral also lists the same sequence under 1 other name. Lineage: Eukaryota; Metazoa; Chordata; Mammalia; Artiodactyla; Camelidae. The record is from Rfam by way of RNAcentral.
GAGGGCAUAGCUCAAGUGGUAGAGCACAUGUUUAGCAUGCACGAGGUCCUGGGUUCAAUCCCCAGUACCUCCU